This 459-nucleotide ribosomal RNA is filed under the name uncultured bacterium. RNAcentral's name for it is "bacterial SSU rRNA". It matches the Rfam family "Bacterial small subunit ribosomal RNA", at positions 29 to 524 of the family's 1533-position model. The record is from RNAcentral.
AACGAACGCUGGCGGCAGGCCUAACACAUGCAAGUCGAACGUGAAGCCACCUUCGGGUGGUGGAAAGUGGCAGACGGGUGAGUAACGCGUGGGAAUCUACCCAAUGGUACGGAAUAACUCAGGGAAACUUGAGCUAAUACCGUAUGUGCCCGAAAGGGGAAGAUUUAUCGCCAUUGGAUGAGCCCGCGUCUGAUUAGCUAGUUGGUGGGGUAAUGGCCCACCAAGGCGACGAUCAGUAGCGGUCUGAGAGGAUGAUCAGCCACACUGGGACUGAGACACGGCCCAGACUCCUACGGGAGGCAGCAGUGGGGAAGUAUUGGACAAUGGGCGGCAAGCCUGAUCCAGCCAUGCCGCGUGAGUGAUGAAGGCCUAGGGUUGUAAAGCUCUUUCGGCGGGGACGAUAAUGACGGUACCCGCAGAAGAAGCCCCGGCUAACUUCGUGCCAGCCGCCGCGGUAAC